Non-coding RNA from Otolemur garnettii (small-eared galago), 47 nucleotides. Lineage: Eukaryota; Metazoa; Chordata; Mammalia; Primates; Galagidae. The record is from Rfam.
AAACUGGCUUUAUUCAAAGCUAUUAACUUUUAAAAUCAAAGAAAUAU